This is a long non-coding RNA of Hemibagrus wyckioides, 304 nucleotides long. RefSeq lists it as uncharacterized. NCBI's taxonomy places the organism in Eukaryota, Metazoa, Chordata, Actinopteri, Siluriformes, Bagridae. The transcript has 3 exons. The record is from RefSeq and is a predicted model, not a curated record.
CUUUAUCAGAGUGAUGACUUUGUGUUCCAGCUCCUGUUGCAACUGAAAUUCUGCUUAUUCAUACAAAUGAUUACCCAUAAUUCUACUGGACUUCAAGAAAUGACAAGCACCACAGACCCUCCAGCUCAGGGACUGCAGGCUGAACUGACCUCUUAAAGCAGUUGUCCUCACUGCCGGACCGAGAGCUGCAGCAUGGCACAGUUAAGUGUUUUACUGCUUCAACACCUGAUAAAGCUCAUGAAGGGCUUCAUAAUGAGACCAGUGAGUUUGAUCAGGUGGAACACUGCUGUAAAACACCUCACUA